Molecule: long non-coding RNA, 345 nt
Organism: Gossypium arboreum
Lineage: Eukaryota; Viridiplantae; Streptophyta; Magnoliopsida; Malvales; Malvaceae
Exons: 2
Source: RefSeq, a predicted model, not a curated record
GGCGAAUAUGGAGGAGAGAAGAAAGCCAUUGAAGCUUCCUUAGUUUCGGCAUUUGCAUGAAGUGAUUUAGGGUUGCCAGGUUAGCUCGGGUUGGAGGCCGUCAGAGAUAUUAUCACAUUGUCAAGUCUACGCUAUCGGCGUAAAUAAAUCUUAGUGUUUCGAGUCUAUGGCAUGUAUAGGGUUGUAAAGUUGAGUAAGUAAAUGAUACAAGACUAAGAUAUUGGUAAAUAUUUAAUAAUGCCUCAUGAAUAUUUUGGGCCUUGUAAGCCCGAUUAAAGGAUAAUAUACGUGUGUAUGAAAAGUUUAAAAUUGAUCAAAAAUUUUUACGGUCUGGUUUUAUAUAAA